CCACUUCAGCAGCACAUAUACUAACAUUGGAAUGAUACAGAGAAGAUUAGCAUGGCCCUUGCACAAGGAUGACAGUCUGUGUCUUUU
Molecule: small nuclear RNA, 87 nt
Organism: Heterocephalus glaber (naked mole-rat)
Lineage: Eukaryota; Metazoa; Chordata; Mammalia; Rodentia; Bathyergidae
Source: Ensembl